Molecule: ribosomal RNA, 496 nt
Filed under: uncultured bacterium
Lineage: Bacteria
Description: partial 16S ribosomal RNA
Rfam family: Bacterial small subunit ribosomal RNA
Source: RNAcentral
AUGAACGCUGGCGGCGUGCCUAAUACAUGCAAGUCGCGCGAACAGACGAGGAGCUUGCUCCUCUGACGUUAGCGGCGGACGGGUGAGUAACACGUGGAUAACCUACCUAUAAGACUGGGAUAACUUCGGGAAACCGGAGCUAAUACCGGAUAAUAUAUUGAACCGCAUGGUUCAAUAGUGAAAGACGGUUUUGCUGUCACUUAUAGAUGGAUCCGCGCCGCAUUAGCUAGUUGGUAAGGUAACGGCUUACCAAGGCGACGAUGCGUAGCCGACCUGAGAGGGUGAUCGGCCACACUGGAACUGAGACACGGUACAGACUCCUACGGGAGGCAGCAGUAGGGAAUCUUCCGCAAUGGGCGAAAGCCUGACGGAGCAACGCCGCGUGAGUGAUGAAGGUCUUCGGAUCGUAAAACUCUGUUAUUAGGGAAGAACAAAUGUGUAAGUAACUAUGCACGUCUUGACGGUACCUAAUCAGAAAGCCACGGCUAACUACGUG